CCUACGGGAGGCAGCAGUGGGGGAUAUUGCACAAUGGGGGAAACCCUGAUGCAGCGACGCCGCGUGGGUGAAGGAGGGCUUCGGCAUGUAAAGCCCUAUCCGCAGGGAAGAAGCAAGACGGUACCUGACUAAGAAGCCCCGGCUAACUACGUGCCAGCAGCCGCGGUAAUACGUAGGGGGCGAGCGUUAUCCGGAUUCACUGGGUGUAAAGGGAGCGUAGACGGCCAGGCAAGCCAGGGGUGAAAGCCAGGGGCCCAACCCGGGGACUGCACUUGGAACUGCAUUGCUGGAGUGCGGGAGGGGCAGGCGGAAGUCCUGGUGUAGCGGUGAAAUGCGGAGAUAUCAGGAGGAACACCGGGGGCGAAGGCGGCCUGCUGGACCGUGACGGACGUUGAGGCUCGAAAGCGUGGGGAGCGAACAGGAUUAGAUACCCGGGUAGUC
RNAcentral lists this ribosomal RNA (441 nucleotides) under uncultured bacterium. RNAcentral describes it as "partial 16S ribosomal RNA". It matches the Rfam family "Bacterial small subunit ribosomal RNA", at positions 338 to 795 of the family's 1533-position model. The record is from RNAcentral.